This 300-nucleotide unclassified non-coding RNA is filed under the name Lyophyllum sp. RNAcentral's name for it is "partial contains small subunit ribosomal RNA and internal transcribed spacer 1". The stretch from base 1 to 46 matches the Rfam family "Eukaryotic small subunit ribosomal RNA", at positions 1786 to 1831 of the family's 1831-position model. The record is from RNAcentral. Lineage: Eukaryota; Fungi; Basidiomycota; Agaricomycetes; Agaricales; Lyophyllaceae.
AAGUCGUAACAAGGUUUCCGUAGGUGAACCUGCGGAAGGAUCAUUAUUGAAUAAACUUGGUUGGGUUGUUGCUGGCUCUGUGGAGCAUGUGCACGCCUAGCACCAUUUUAUUAACCACCUGUGCACCUUUUGUAGACUUGGAUACCUCUCGAGGAAGCUCGGUUUUGAGGACUGCUUUGCAGCUUUCCUUACAUUUCCAGUCUAUGUUUUUAACAUAUAUACCCCAUAAGAAUGUAACAGAAUGUCAUUAAUUGGCCUUUUGUGCCUUUAAAUCAAAUACAACUUUCAACAACGGAUCUC